Molecule: transfer RNA, 83 nt
Filed under: Canis lupus familiaris (dog)
Lineage: Eukaryota; Metazoa; Chordata; Mammalia; Carnivora; Canidae
Rfam family: tRNA
About the family: Transfer RNA (tRNA) molecules are approximately 80 nucleotides in length.
Source: Rfam by way of RNAcentral
GCCUGGGUGGCUCUGUGGUUGAGCAUCGGACUUCAGCUCAGGGUGUGAUCCUGGGGUCCUGGGAUUGAGUCCCACCUCGGGCU